This 2424-nucleotide long non-coding RNA is filed under the name Mizuhopecten yessoensis (Yesso scallop). Its description in RNAcentral is "uncharacterized LOC110459335". Lineage: Eukaryota; Metazoa; Mollusca; Bivalvia; Pectinida; Pectinidae. The record is from RNAcentral.
GUAUUUGUGUGUAAAGAGGACACAGUGGUUUGUUUGGAAAGUGGCCCCCGCUUAGACCGGACACUUACGUGUGUACAGUGGAACCUCGUGUGUAUGGACACUUUGAGACCUCCGUCCACCAACUCAGGACUAUAGCCACCAAGACAGUUUAUUCGGGAAUGCAUUUUCAUCAAGAUCCAAUUUCAUCGUCCACCCCGAAUGGCUGUCUGAGAAUGUCGACCCUCCCCUAUCGCGACCGAUGAAUCGCCCUCCUUGGCCAUGGGAGCAGCCGAAGUACCGCCAGAACAUCAAACUAUCCCAACUUAAUGGCAAUGACACUUCAAACGUUAACAAAGCAGAUCAAAACCGAACAGGAAACGAAAAAGCAAAUGAAACUGAGCAUGUUGGUGGACAAGGAUGUGAGGUUCAGGAAAACGGAUACCUACCGGUACCCAAGUAUCCUCCAAGUCUGUACAGUUUUGGACAAAACUCAGCCUAUAUGGACGCUAAUGGAAGUACAGUUGAAUAUAACUGACCCAUUUGACAUUUAGAUAAAAUAACAAAUCUCAGCAUGGUUAUGUCAUCCACGCAAGAAUUGACCAUUAAACUUAGACUAGCAUGACAGAAACAUUACAAAAGCGUUGCUCAACAGGGACUUUUAUAUGAAGCCUAUUGCAAGACAACUAAGAAGUGUGAAGUUAUAAAUUGUAUCAAGUAACUUAUACCCGUUUCCUCAGUAAGUCUGUUCCACAUGUAUUUACAGAAAACAUAAGUAACAUAAACACCCCUUCAGUAUGUGGUCCUAUCAGUUGAUUACAUUCGCUAAUGACCUGUUAAUAAUGAGCUACGUGUCAUCAUGAAGCUACUAAAGACAAACAAGGGGCAUGAAAUCAGCAUGUACCUGUAUGCAGUAGAUAAGCUUUAGUUUUAGGGAAUUCAAACACACAUGUUUCUUGAUUUCAUUUAUAGGUUUAUUUUAAAACAGUACAUCAUGAAGGUAGAAAUAAUAUUGUGGAAAUAGAGUCUAAAUAUUCAUUAUUUAAACAAAGAGUAGUGCUAGCUAAAUCACGAUUUAGACCGAUCUCUAAAGAGAUUUAUUCCAGUACUUGCCGUGGGGUGAAGUUUUUAUUUGACCAUAUACGUUGAGCCCACCAUACCUUAAAAUUAUACCAGACUUGCUGUGAUCGUUUUGAUGACAUUUUAUAUAAAAAAAAUCACGGUAAAUGUUGAAAACUAUUUCUUAUACCAAUCAGUAUUGUUGUGUUUUUCUGUGCGUUGUUCAUCCCUUUUCUGGACUACGUAUGUUUAUGCCGAUGUUUUACUACUAUUUACUACUAGUCCGCCAUCUCACUACGAAACCAAGUCUUUUAUUUAAGUAAUAACUUCCGGUUAUCAUGUGUUAUUACCACUUAUAGGCGAGUAGACAUGUUGACUACUUUCUCGAUUGCUAUCAUAGCUUUAGUUGAAUUAGCGUUGGAUUUAGACGACUAACGUGGCUUUGUGGUUAUGAUACCUGAUUAUCCAGGUGAGUUGUUACCUUUCUACCUAUACCAGUUGUGUGCGUUUUAUGUUUAUAUGCUUUGUUUCCCUGUGUUUCUAUAUAGACUUUAUGAUAAAAUAUGUCAGUGUUAGUUUCCGUGUUGUUUAUUACAAAUCAAAACCAAGGUACUUAAUUAGGUAUACGUAGCCAUGCAACUUUCCAUUGUUUAUGAUUAUUGUCAUUAAAUAUAAAUAAUAUAAAGAUAUUUAUGGUUAUGAAACAUUUCAAUGUUAAUAAUUAUAGACAGUUAUGGUGUUGAUACCAGUUUGUAUAUCGUUAAAUAUCAAUUUUGAAACUUAAUGUUAUUUAUCAUGCUAUCAUUCAGAAUGAAAUUCUGACAGCGUUUCUCAGUAAAGCUGUUUUGUGAUAUACUGUUAGCAUGUUGAAGAAUGACAGUCACUGAUUAGACAGAUUACAUGACGAAUGGAGAGCUACACUUGUAUAUGUAUUUAGUACUAUUGAGGCAUCCCAUCACAAAAAAAACAACACGUAUAUAUAUAUAGAAGUCAUAGUUAUACUGAUGUGAAGACAUGUUGAUUAUUUUUUCUGUCUAUCAUGACACCAUACUGUUGUAAUUUCUAAGUUAAGUGAUAUCGGCUAUGACCGAGAUAUUUACCUUUUCUACAGAUCUUAGAACAGAAAACAUUUUACACUUUUUGUUUUGACAUUGUUGGCUUUUCUUCGAUUUGCUUUAUAUUUGAUGGUUAAAGUUCUGUUUUCGUUGUUAGCUUAUUGCUCUGUUGGACUGUGACACCGUAUGCUUAUUGUUGUCCCCAUUGCUCAUUAAACAGUAUUAAAGUGGUACUGCCACAUGUUAACGAGUAUUAUGUUUGGUGAAAUGUUGUACUUUGUAAUUAUUCAACUAUUUAUUCGAAAACAAAUAGAAAUAUAGUAAAUUAUAUAUA